This 762-nucleotide ribosomal RNA is filed under the name uncultured bacterium. Its description in RNAcentral is "bacterial SSU rRNA". It matches the Rfam family "Bacterial small subunit ribosomal RNA", at positions 65 to 834 of the family's 1533-position model. The record is from RNAcentral.
AAGAGGUCCAUGCAGUGGCAUGCCUGCGAACGACCUACUGGCGAACGGGUGAGUAACACGUGAGGAACCUGCCCCGAACACCGGGAUAACCCUCCCAAAGGAGAGCUAAUACCGGAUACCCCCGUCAGAUCGCAUGAUCAGAUGAGGAAAUGGAUUCCGCUUCCGGAGGGCCUCUCGGCCUAUCAGCUUGUUGGUGGGGUAACGGCCCACCAUGGCAUCUACGGGUAGCUGGUCUGAGAGGACCAUCAUCCACACUGGGACUGAGACUCGGCCCACACUCCUACGGGAGGCACCUGUGGGGAAUCUUGCCCAAUGGGCGAAAGCCUGACCCAGCUUCGCCGCGAGGGGGAUGAAGGCUCUCGGGUUGUAAACCCCUUUCAUCAGGGACAAAUCAAGACGGUACCUGCCCAAUAGGCCCCGGCUAACUACGUGCCAUCAGCCGCGGUACCACGUAGGGGGCAAGCGUUGUCCGGAUUUAUUGGGCGUAAAGAGCUCGUAGGCGGCUGAGUUAGUCGGGUGUUAAAUCCCCAGGCUCAACCUGGGACACCACCCGAUACUGCUCUGGCUAGAGUCCGGUAGGGGAGCGUGGAAUUCCCUGGUGUAGCGGUGAAAUGCGCAGAUAUCAGGAGGAACACCUUCGGCGAAUGCGGCGCUCUGUGCCGGAUCUGACGCUGAGUAGCGAAAGCGUGAGUAGCAAACAAGAUUACAUACCCUGACUACUCCACGCCGUAAACAUUGGGGCACUAUGUGUGGGGACUAUUC